RNAcentral lists this ribosomal RNA (497 nucleotides) under uncultured bacterium. RNAcentral describes it as "partial 16S ribosomal RNA". It matches the Rfam family "Bacterial small subunit ribosomal RNA", at positions 28 to 507 of the family's 1533-position model. The record is from RNAcentral.
GAUGAACGCUGGCGGCGUGCCUAAUACAUGCAAGUCGAGCGAACAGACGAGGAGCUUGCUCCUCUGACGUUAGCGGCGGACGGGUGAGUAACACGUGGAUAACCUACCCAUAAGACUGGGAUAACUUCGGGAAACCGGAGCUAAUACCGGAUAAUAUAUUGAACCGCAUGGUUCAAUAGUGAAAGACGGGUUUGCUGUCACUUAUAGAUGGAUCCGCGCCGCAUUAGCUAGUUGGUAAGGUAACGGCUUACCAAGGCAACGAUGCGUAGCCGAUCUGAGAGAGUGAUCGGCCACACUGGAACUGAGACACGGUCCAGACUCCUACGGGAGGCAGCAGUAGGGAAUCUUCCGCAAUGGGCGAAAGCUUGACGGAGCAACGCCGCGUGAGUGAUGAAGGUCUUCGGAUCGUAAAACUCUGUUAUUAGGGAAGAACAAAUGUGUAAGUAACUAUGCACGUCUUGACGGUACCUGAUCAGAAAGCCACGGCUAACUACGUG